AUCCUAAGGGGUACUAGGCUAAAAUUCAAAGAGACAAAAGAGACUUGAAAGAAACUGCGGGAGUUGAAUUUACAAAAUAUUUCAUUCACUUCAAUAACUCUAUAUUAACUGUUUCCAUUCUUUUUUUUUCUCCUUUCUCUUUUUUCUUCUUCUUUUUUUCUUUUUCAUAAGGAGUAUGUAUUGACAUGUAUACAUCAUUCUAUUUUUUUAUUUCAUUUUUUUUCUAUUUUCUUUUUCUAUUUUUCUUUUUUUUUCUGUCAACUUCUGAAAUAUUACAAACAUACUUAUUCAACUCCACACAACUCCAAACAAGACUCUUCCAACCCUUUGAAUAGGGUGAUAACAUUGUUUUUCACUUCUCGGCUUGUAAUGAGUUUUAAACAAA
Molecule: long non-coding RNA, 385 nt
Filed under: Lathyrus oleraceus (garden pea)
Lineage: Eukaryota; Viridiplantae; Streptophyta; Magnoliopsida; Fabales; Fabaceae
Description: Pisum sativum (pea) long non-coding RNA (PSAT_LNC024182)
Source: RNAcentral